Salvia splendens (bonfire salvia) is the source of this 242-nucleotide long non-coding RNA. RefSeq lists it as uncharacterized. NCBI's taxonomy places the organism in Eukaryota, Viridiplantae, Streptophyta, Magnoliopsida, Lamiales, Lamiaceae. The record is from RefSeq and is a predicted model, not a curated record. The transcript is spliced from 2 exons.
UCUACCCCGAAACAGCCCCGACGCCCCCGAUUCCAAACCGGUUCGUUAAAGGUUAUUGCAGAAGAAAUUGAUAUACCUUUGGAGAGGAGAAAUUGCCUAGCAGCAGAAGGAAUUGAAUUCACGGCAGUUUUGUAUUUUUUUUAUCCUCAAACUGUGAUGUCAAGCAAGAAUUGUGGCAGGAGUCAGUAAAUUGCGAUUUUGUACUCGCAGAAUUGAAUUUGAAGGGAUAAUACCUUUAGUUU